UAGGGAAUCUUCGGCAAUGGACGAAAGUCUGACCGAGCAACGCCGCGUGAGUGAAGUAAGGUUUUCGGAUCGUAAAACUCUGUUGGUAGAGAAGAACGUUGGUGAGAGUGGAAAGCUCAUCAAGUGACGGUAACUACCCAGAAAGGGACGGCUAACUACGUGCCAC
Molecule: ribosomal RNA, 166 nt
Filed under: uncultured bacterium
Lineage: Bacteria
Description: partial 16S rRNA
Rfam family: Bacterial small subunit ribosomal RNA
Source: RNAcentral